Molecule: ribosomal RNA, 757 nt
Filed under: uncultured Alteromonas sp.
Lineage: Bacteria; Pseudomonadati; Pseudomonadota; Gammaproteobacteria; Alteromonadales; Alteromonadaceae
Description: bacterial SSU rRNA
Rfam family: Bacterial small subunit ribosomal RNA
Source: RNAcentral
CUGAUGCAGCCAUGCCGCGUGUGUGAAGAAGGCUCUAGGGUUGUAAAGCACUUUCAGUCGGGAGGAAAGGGUAGUAGUUAAUACCUGCUAUCUGUGACGUUACCGACAGAAGAAGCACCGGCUAACUCCGUGCCAGCAGCCGCGGUAAUACGGAGGGUGCGAGCGUUAAUCGGAAUUACUGGGCGUAAAGCGCACGCAGGCGGUCUGUUAAGCUAGAUGUGAAAGCCCCGCGCUCAACGUGGGAGGGUCAUUUAGAACUGGCAGACUAGAGUCUUGGAGAGGGGAGUGGAAUUCCAGGUGUAGCGGUGAAAUGCGUAGAGAUCUGGAGGAACAUCAAUGGCGAAGGCAACUCCCUGGCCAAAGACUGACGCUCAUGUGCGAAAGUGUGGGUAGCGAACAGGAUUAGAUACCCUGGUAGUCCACACCGUAAACGCUGUCUACUAGCUGUUUGUGAAUUUAAUUCGUGAGUAGCGAAGCUAACGCGAUAAGUAGACCGCCUGGGGAGUACGGCCGCAAGGUUAAAACUCAAAUGAAUUGACGGGGGCCCGCACAAGCGGUGGAGCAUGUGGUUUAAUUCGAUGCAACGCGAAGAACCUUACCUACUCUUGACAUACUAGAAACUUUUCAGAGAUGAAUUGGUGCCUUCGGGAAUCUAGAUACAGGUGCUGCAUGGCUGUCGUCAGCUCGUGUCGUGAGAUGUUGGGUUAAGUCCCGCAACGAGCGCAACCCUUGUCCUUAGUUGCCAGCCUUAAGUUGG